AUUUGAAGUGCAGAGAAUGAGCAGAAGGAGGAAGAAGAUAGGAAUGGAGUCUGAAAACUCUUAACCAUUUCACUCUGUUUGGUUGGGUUUAUAUACUGACCCAACGGUAACAAAACAGUAAAACUGAAAAGUGAAAAACGCGGGUAAAACCACGUGACAAGUUUAAUACAGGGAACGACAAGAAACAAACGGAGAAAGAAACGCAACGUUUCAUUUAAGCUCCUCUUCUCUUCUUUCUUCACCGUUGACUAACGGUCUUCUUCCUUUCUCCUUAACACCGUUUGUUCUUCAGUUCUUCAUCGUCGUUUCUGCAUUUCAUAAACACUGAAUAGUGAGAGUAAAACGAAACCUAAUCCCAAUUCAAGAACAAGCAACAUGAAUUAUUAAUCAGAUGAAAUCGAACCAAAUCGGAAUUGGAGAGCUGAUCGAUAUCUCUUGGAAAGAGAAGAGAGAGGAAGCAGAAGAGAGUUUUGACUGCAGUGCUUAGCAUUACACUGCCUGCUGCUCUUGUGUUUUUUUCCCUUGUACAUACUUUUUGGAUUUUGCCUUUCUUAAUAUACGUAUAUACUUCGAUAAAAAACAAAAGAUCAUGUGCAGAGGUUGUGAGAGGGAGGAGAUGCAGGUGCAGGAGUACAGUGGAUUGAAAUCAACUUUGCAAUUCGUAU
Molecule: long non-coding RNA, 665 nt
Filed under: Linum usitatissimum (flax)
Lineage: Eukaryota; Viridiplantae; Streptophyta; Magnoliopsida; Malpighiales; Linaceae
Description: long non-coding RNA (LUSI_LNC005716)
Source: RNAcentral